UUAUAGUUAUCAUACAACAUUGCCUAUAUUCCCUGUUCUGUACAAUAUGUCCUUUUUAAAAACAUUUUUAUUGAAGUACAGUUGCUUUACAAUGUUGUGUUAUGUUAUGGAUACCAAGAGGGGAUAAGGAGUGGGAUAAAUUGGGAGACUGGGACUGACAUAUAUACACUGCUGUGUGUAAAAUGGUAACUAAUGAGAGCCUGCUGGAUGGCACAGGGUACUCUACUCGGUGCUCCGUGGUGACCUAAAUGGAAAAGGAAUUUUUCAAAGAGGGGAUAUAUAUAGUGUUUGUAUUUGAUUCACCAAAUCCAAACGAUGAUAGCCUCAAGGGUGAUACCUUUGUCUCCCAAUUCCAGUCCAGUUGCUAACCACCUCUCUGACAUGGAGCGGCUACUUGGGAGGAGAAUGCAGAGAAACCUAAGGAAGAUGUGUGAGACAUGGGCUCUGCUGGCAUCCAGAGAGUGAAGAAGCAGAAGCGUUGACUGCCUCCUUGUCAGAUGGGAUCUGGGGACCAGCCGCUAAGAGCUCUAAGGACAAAAAAGAGUCAGAAUGAUGGCUUAGUUGAUGGCAGAGUGGAAAGGACUCACAGGCCAGCCAGAAGCCCUGGAGCAAGGCAGACGUUCCCAGAAGGACUUGGCAGAAAGAGUCAGACUGAGAAGCUGGCUGGCUGGUAAUGCCAGGAAGGGGAAGAGAUGUGAGUGGAGCACAACCAUGUAGAGGAGAGGUCUGGGCAGCCUGAAAUCCAAGCUAGCUGCUGUGGAUGGUGGGCUCAUGGGAACAGAUUCCUGCAGAGUGCAGUUGAGAGGAGGGAUUUGGGAGGACAGACAGGAGCAGGAGCCCAGCACCCAAUCUGGAACAGAUGGAUAGAACAAACAUCCCUGAAAAGGGACCCAGAUUCAGGCUGCUAGGGACUUGAUCUCUAGGCAACAGACUAGGAUGAAGGAAAAGGUUUGUGUAGGCCCCACAGCAGGGCUGAUUUGAUGCCCUCCUCUAGAGAAGCCAGCUUGGGGCUCCUUAAACUCCCCCAGAUCCGAGAGAUACUAUGGGGUCUCAGCUGGGCUAAUUGGCAAAUCAUAGAAUUAGGUGUGCGGUUUCAAUAAGUUUAAGAUGUGGUUCCUGUCCUCAGGGGUUUAUAAUCUAUUUGGGAAGAUAAGGUCAGCACAUAUGAGACACAGAAAAG
This 1180-nucleotide long non-coding RNA is filed under the name Bos grunniens (domestic yak). RNAcentral describes it as "lncRNA (ENSBGRG00000009641.1)". The record is from RNAcentral. Lineage: Eukaryota; Metazoa; Chordata; Mammalia; Artiodactyla; Bovidae.